Molecule: ribosomal RNA, 467 nt
Filed under: uncultured bacterium
Lineage: Bacteria
Description: partial 16S ribosomal RNA
Rfam family: Bacterial small subunit ribosomal RNA
Source: RNAcentral
GACGAACGCUGGCGGCGUGCUUAACACAUGCAAGUCGAACGAUGAAGCCCAGCUUGCUGGGUGGAUUAGUGGCGAACGGGUGAGUAACACGUGAGCAACGUGCCCGAAACUCUGGAAUAACUACCGGAAACGGUGGCUAAUACUUGAUAUGUGCCAGGGAGGCAUCUCCUCUGGUUGGAAAGAUUUUUCGGUUUCGGAUCGGCUCACGGCCUAUCAGCUUGUUGGUGGGGUAAUGGCCUACCAAGGCGACGACGGGUAGCCGGCCUGAGAGGGUGACCGGCCACACGGGGACUGAGACACGGCCCAGACUCCUACGGGAGGCAGCAGUGGGGAAUAUUGCACAAUGGGCGCAAGCCUGAUGCAGCAACGCCGCGUGAGGGAUGACGGCCUUCGGGUUGUAAACCUCUUUUAGUAGGGAAGAAGCGCAAGUGACGGUACCUGCAGAAAAAGCACCGGCUAACUACGUG